UACGUAGGGGGCAAGCGUUGUCCGGAUUUAUUGGGCGUAAAGAGCGUGUAGGCGGCCAGAUAGGUCCGUUGUGAAAACUCGAGGCUCAACCUCGAGAUGUCGAUGGAAACCGUCUGGCUAGAGUCCGGAAGAGGAGUGUGGAAUUCCUGGUGUAGCGGUGAAAUGCGCAGAUAUCAGGAAGAACACCUAUGGCGAAGGCAGCACUCUGGGCCGGUACUGACGCUGAGACGCGAAAGCGUGGGGAGCGAACAGG
This 253-nucleotide ribosomal RNA is filed under the name uncultured bacterium. Its description in RNAcentral is "partial 16S ribosomal RNA". It matches the Rfam family "Bacterial small subunit ribosomal RNA", at positions 524 to 776 of the family's 1533-position model. The record is from RNAcentral.